Pelodiscus sinensis (Chinese soft-shelled turtle) is the source of this 1062-nucleotide long non-coding RNA. RefSeq lists it as uncharacterized. The record is from RefSeq and is a predicted model, not a curated record. Lineage: Eukaryota; Metazoa; Chordata; Testudines; Trionychidae.
UCCAAAUUCUUGGAGUGGCCCCCCCCAUCAAAAAUUACUGCCCCCCCAUUAGCACAAUGUCAACCAGUACUAGCAGGAUCACUGGCUUCUCAGAAUGGUGAUAUUCUAAGGGGUUGCCCCCCCGCCCAGUUUGCCCAGUGGUCAGCAACUCUUCACACAAUUCUGGGUCACUGAACAGAACUGCUGAGUUUGGAGGUUCAUAGAGUAGGUCAAAGCGCCUCAGCUCAUCUCCAUGAGAACAUUAUUAUUACUAGGAAAUGCACAUUGUGAUACACAAUCACUCCCUGAUGAGACCAUGUACCAAGCCUAAUGGCUCCCACUGAAACAAAAUGUAAUAUUCAGCUCUUACAACAGGCAUACACACUUGGCUCCUACUGAUGAUGCUUCUACAGAGAAGCAGGAUGAUUUCCUUGAGGUCUGAGUUUGUGGUAACUAUAGCAUAGGCGUAAAAACAAAUGUUUUAUCCUUCCCUCUCCUUUUUCCAACCCAACCCAAUGGAUCCUACCCCAGAGAAGAUGAGUAUAACACCAACUCUUUUUCAGAUGUCAGAAUCUCCUGUUUGGUUGACCCUCAAGGUUUACACUGAAACAGGUAGCAGGGGUAAGAAUCCACAUGAAGAAUCCACAUCCAAAAAGAAGUUUGCUCUGAAAUCAGAGCCUUCCAGAUAGACUCCAGGACAAUCCAGGAGGGCUGGCAACCCUAUGAGACUGGCGUGGGAAACCAAGCUGGGCGGUUCACAUUUCCACGUCACCAGGUUACGUCAAAGGCCUCUUCAAUUUGAUGGUUAAUGCGGGCCACAUUGUGCUGUAUCAGUGUCACACGUCUUCACCCGACUUAAUAGCGCAGAGGAAUACUGAAAACAGGAAACCAAAAACAGCUGAUAGAGCUGGAGGGCUUCUCACCAGAGAAGGUGCACGGGGAGGUGGCUUUCCUAGAGAAGACAUCUCUCCCUUUUGAGUGAAACGAGCCGCAACAACGGAGCACAGACCUGCGGAGUGAUGACUGACGGGUUCGGGACAGGAAACGAAGAAUCACUUUUGCAUUUGGAAUGACGGCGGAGUU